RNAcentral lists this ribosomal RNA (253 nucleotides) under uncultured bacterium. RNAcentral's name for it is "partial 16S ribosomal RNA". It matches the Rfam family "Bacterial small subunit ribosomal RNA", at positions 524 to 776 of the family's 1533-position model. The record is from RNAcentral.
UACGAAGGGGGCUAGCGUUGCUCGGAAUUACUGGGCGUAAAGGGCGCGUAGGCGGACCUGUCAGUCAGGCGUGAAACCCCAGGGCUCAACCCUGGAACUGCGCUUGAUACUGCGGGUCUAGAGUGCCGGAGAGGUUGGUGGAAUUCCCAGUGUAGAGGUGAAAUUCGUAGAUAUUGGGAAGAACACCGGUGGCGAAGGCGGCCAUCUGGACGGCAACUGACGCUGAGGCGCGAAAGCGUGGGGAGCAAACAGG